Long non-coding RNA from Oncorhynchus kisutch (coho salmon), 917 nucleotides. RefSeq lists it as uncharacterized. NCBI's taxonomy places the organism in Eukaryota, Metazoa, Chordata, Actinopteri, Salmoniformes, Salmonidae. The record is from RefSeq and is a predicted model, not a curated record. The transcript has 3 exons.
UUGUGGGUGAUUGUUCCUGUCUUUGUUUGUGGCACAAGAUAGGACUGUUUUGGUUUUGUCACGUUUCUUGUUUUGUAGAUCGUUGUAUUUUCAUCUUUAUUAAGGAUGUACAAAACUAACCACGCUGCAUUUUGGUCUGCCUCUCUUUCACCAGAAGAAAACUGUUAGAGGUCACGUACACAUAUUUUGCAAAUUUUAUUGUGGACCUCCCCCAGCGAGCACAUGACUCCAGUGCUGUUGAACCCCCACUGGCUCCCCAUAUGCUCACGCAUCGACUACAACUCUGGACCCAACAAAAAGGCAAACUGCUCAUUUGGUCGAAAAUGAGUUAAUGUCAUUUUUGCAACAUUAGAUGCUUAAUCAUGUGGACAUGUAUCCUGCCUCCAUUGUAUUGUGUUUUGGAGAAGAUGUGGGGUCACGUUAGCAGUAACUGCAUAAAGUUACUGUGAAACCAAGGUCUGUCUCCCUUCAGCAGCCCCGCAACAGACUAAAAACUAUGGGUGACAGGGCUUUCAGUUGCGCUGCUUCGCCGCUGUAGAACACACUUCCAGACACAAUUAGGGCUGCAGAAUCUCUGUCCUCGUUGAAGGCACAGCUCAAGAUUGUGCUAUUCAGAAAAGCUUUCAAGGACCCCUGCCAAUUAUGUUCUCCUGUCCUGGCGAUACCUGUAUAUAGCUUUAAUUGUUGUCUGUGUUUUGGAUUGUUUUUAUUAUUUUAUAUAUUUUUGGGGCACCUUGGGUGUGAGAAAAGCUCUUUAUAAAUGAAAUGAAUGAUUAUUUAUUAAAAUAGGCCUACUGUUCACCUGUUUCUGUAAUAAAUAAAAAAUAAUACUACCACGAGCAGUGCAAUGGAUGCAUGCCAUUCAUCAUGGAUAAUUAACAUUGGUUUCUGCAGGCGUAUUUAACCAGUACAAUGGC